GAUGAACGCUAGCUACAGGCUUAACACAUGCAAGUCAGGGGCAGCGCAGUGUAGCAAUACAUGGGCGGCGACCGGCGCACGGGUGCGUAACGCGUAUCCAACCUUCCCGUUACUCAGGGAUAGCCUUCCGAAAGGGAGAUUAAUACCUGAUGGUGUUCAAAUUCCGCAUGUUAUUUGAACUAAAGAUUUAUCGGUAACGGAUGGGGAUGCGUGACAUUAGGUAGAUGGCGGGGUAACGGCCCACCAUGCCCACGAUGUCUAGGGGUUCUGAGAGGAAGGUCCCCCACACUGGAACUGAGACACGGUCCAGACUCCUACGGGAGGCAGCAGUGAGGAAUAUUGGUCAAUGGUCGGAAGACUGAACCAGCCAAGUAGCGUGAAGGAUGAAGGUUCUAUGGAUUGUAAACUUCUUUUAUACGGGAAUAAAACCACCUACGUGUAGGUGCUUGUAUGUACCGUAUGAAUAAGCAUCGGCUAACUCCGUG
Molecule: ribosomal RNA, 485 nt
Filed under: uncultured bacterium
Lineage: Bacteria
Description: bacterial SSU rRNA
Rfam family: Bacterial small subunit ribosomal RNA
Source: RNAcentral